AUUUCAGACUAUAGUAGUAGUUACUGACUUGCAAAUUUGUUUGUUAACACCACCUUCCAUAAGACACCAGUAUUUCACUUGUGUGUUAGAUAAGCAGGAGAAAAAGAAAAGGAAAUGACUAGUUAGAAGAGAAGAAAAAAUAGUUGAGGGAAGUGUAUUUUGUUUAGCCAUGUGUUCGUAUCAGUAUAUUCGAUAAGUAUCCGAGUGUCUAAUACUGUCGCAACACCUUUAGAAAAGUAUAUGCGCUUCCUAACUUCAAAUUGACGGUUUAUAAAAUAAGGAAUAUAAGCAACAUAACUGACUCGAUAUAUAUAUAUAUAAAUAAAUAUAAAUCGUCUUUGCAAUGACUUUGGGGGAUUUGAACUCCCAUGGAAUUGAUUUGAAAGUAGGAGCAACCAAGUAAAGUUUUUCAAUGAAGUGAUUACAUUAUUUACAACUGUUGUCAAACACAGCUUAGCUAGCGAUGUCAAACAGGUAGAUGCGAAUUUUCUUUAAAAAAAAAUGAAUUAUUAUUAUUAUUUUGGUAAACAACGGCAUAAUUUUUAUGAAAUAUAAUCUUAAAAUGAAUUAGUUACAGAGAAUUUCAGUAUAUUUCUAAUCGAUGAAUGUAUGAAAAAUAUGAGGAAAUGAGAUUUUUAUGACCUGCUUAGUUUGUAACUAUAAUAAUAGUUUUUUAUUUUUAAAAAAUUGAAAUCAAAAUAUUGUAUUAAAUUUUUUUUACUUAGUUCAAUUUUCAACUGGCUUUUAUAGCUCUUUAAAAAUUAUUUUUUAUUUUCUGAAGUCACAAACCAGGCCUUAACUUCUUUAUAUUUUGUAUAAAGUAAAAUGGUACUUCAACCUAUUUGGCCGAAUAGUUAGGCAGAGUUUACCUGGAUAGCCACGUGGCAAAUUUGUUGGCGACUUUUCUUCCUCUUUCCUCUCUCUCUCUCUCUCUCUCUCUCUAACAUCUCACUCACCCCACACAAAUUCGGCAAGAAGAUGCGGGUGAAAUGAUUGGCUUUCGCCGACAAGAUCACCCAAAUCGUGCGUUUUAAAUAGGUCGGUCUUUGUUCUUCCCGCCGGCGACAUUUCACCACGCGCUCAAACGCGCGUGCGUGCGCUGUGCCGGCGGUCCUUUAUGUCUCUGUUCUGCCCCCUCGGUGAUAGUUCCGUUUAGUUUUGGUCAAAUCUGGUUCGUGCCGAUAAGAACAGAUCCGUUCUUGUUCCGAUAUGUGGCCACCAUUUAGAGCACAUCUCUGCUCUCUGUUGUUGCGGUCCAGGUUGACCCUUUGUUUUGCCGUCGCCGGAACAGUCCUGCACCAUCGCCGGCGACCUGUUCUCUCUCUGCUGGAUCUCUGCGCAGACCUUGCUUCCCACUGUUUCACCGCCGUCCUUCCGCUUCAGCUCUUUGCUCAGUCCGCUACCCGCUGUCCGUCCUCUGUAUACCAGUCCCUCACCGUUGCCGGAGUUUUGUUCGCCGAAGUUCUCUCCGUUUCUUCCGUCCUUUUUUGCCGGGCCGGUCUUGUCAGUCCCACCGCUCCGUCUUUUUUAUAGGUUCAUUGCUGGAUUUUGCCUUAGAAAUAGGCCAAAACCGUCGGUGACCCUUAGUAUAAAUGAUCAAUCAUGACUAUUUGACUAAAACUAGCAGUUGAAAGAGUGCCAGCACAAAAUAAUAAAAUUUAAAUCACAAAUAGUAUAAUACCUGGAGCUCUAGCAUCAACUGUUUAGAAAAAUAUUAAAAAAAUAAAAAUAAAAAUAAAAGAAAAGAAAGUACAGUUAUAAAGCUAGCAAGCAACCACUCUAUUCAUUUGAAUCACUUGUACGUAUGGCGAGUACAAGUUCCACGUUUCCUCAAUCCAAACACCACUUACCCCUCUCGUAUUCCUCAACCCCAACAACAAAAACAAUCUUCUUCUUACCAAUUCCUUCUGCUCCAACCCUUCUUCCCAAAACACUCGCUGUUUCUCGCACAACUUCAGAACACUUCCUCUCUAAAUCAGAAUCAGAAUCAGAAUCAGAGUCAAAAUCAAAAUCAAAAUCAAAAUCAAAUGGUCGCCUCAUUGUUUCUCGUCUCAAUGAUUGUUCAAUCGAUGGUUCAACCAAAGAAAAUAGCCCCCAAGUUGAAGUCAAAACCUGAUGGGGUGUGUAAAACAAUCUUUACGCAACUGGUUUGGAAUGGUGGCAGGCCGCGGUGAUCAGUUCAUGGUACUCUUGUUUUACAGAAUGCAGUGCUGACUGGAUCUAAUCUUCAGAGGAGAGGGAUUUCACUUGCCUCUUGGUGCUGUCUCUGUUGCAAUUUUGAAGAAUCUGUCACGCAUUUAUUUGUGGAUUGUAGUUUCUCUUGUUAGCUUUGGUGUGAUCUUGCUGAUAUGUUCAAAUGGAGGAUUAACAAACUACUUUCUGUUUGUGAAUUUGCAAUGGAGUUGGCUCAUCAAUUCGCAGCUACAUCAGUGAGGAAUAAAGUUUGCAAAGCCCUUUUUUCUGCCACUUCGUAUUUUAUAUGGAGUGAAAGGAAUGGAAGGGUAUAUAAUGAUGUUGUUAGGAGCUGUAGAUCUCUUUUGAAAUGUAUUGCUUGGGAGGUUUUGGAUGUCUUGGGAAUUUCUCUCCAAGAUGUCCUUUCCUAAGUUUUUGUUGUCUGGUUGGAUAGGGGUUUCCCUAUUCUUCUUGUUUAAUCCUGUAAAGGGAGUUCUUGUGCAGUGGGGGUAUGCCUUCACUUCUUGCUUGUACUAUAAUGUUUUAUCUAUAAAUUUUUCUUCAUUUAGGAAAAAAAAAAAAUUGAUCAAUUUCACACUGGUGAUAUUGAAUUAA
Long non-coding RNA from Cornus florida, 2787 nucleotides. RefSeq lists it as uncharacterized. NCBI's taxonomy places the organism in Eukaryota, Viridiplantae, Streptophyta, Magnoliopsida, Cornales, Cornaceae. The record is from RefSeq and is a predicted model, not a curated record. The transcript has 2 exons.